UCUUGCCUAAGACCAAUAUAUAUAUAGCUCUCUAUUCUGAGUCUCUGACAAAGAUGUAUGGCAGUAUGAUAUACCUUGAAUUCUAAAAAUUGACCAGUCAUGUGCUUUUUAAGUUCAGGAACUGGGAUUCCCAAAUCAGCAACACUAUUUAGAGAAAUACUUCGCAUCAGCCACUAUUUAGCUUCAGCCGAAGCACACCUUGCGUGGUAAAGGUGAAUUUCCCCUUUUCUCCCUGUUACGCAUUCCGGUUCCCUCUCUCUGAUUUUCACUUCAUUUGAAAUUCCCCCAAUCCUCUCCCCCACCCCCACCCUCGCCUUCGCCCAUCUUCUAAGCCACCCCCGCAUCGCCCAUUCUCUCCCUCAUCCCCUGCCCUAUUUUUCCCGUCGCCAUUGAACCUCCCUCUACCCAUCACCCCUGUUACCUAGAUCUGAAGCUCUGCCCCCUCUGCCCAUCCUCCAAUUGCGCUGUUUGAAAAUGCUUGUUUCUGCUGAAGAGAUUUGUGGCCCUAAGCUCUAAAUUCAAACACUCAAUGCCUUGAUCCAUGCGGUGUCCUUUCGCUGCUUGUUAUUCUUUGUUCUUUGACCUCUACCUCUCACUGGUUUUUCCUUUCCUUGCAUUUCUGUCUCUUAACAAUGAUUUGAUUCGAUUCAAAAAUGUUUUUUAUCUAUUUAAAGCUGGGUUUGGCUGUUGUGAAAAUGUUUUUUAUUUAUUUACAGCUGGGUUUGCUUGUUAUCCUGCAUGAUUAUUCAGAAUAAUAAAAAAUAUGUUUAUUACCUCUACAGGAUUUUCCAAUUGAUCCGACCGGUGAACUUGAGACUUGAGAGCCUUCUGAAGACAUUAUUGACAUCUGUAAAUGGGUUGGUAUUGCUGUGGUUGUCAUUCAGAUAUGGUAUUAUUCUCAUUAUAAGGAUGAAAUUAAUCAACAUGUCUUUAAUUGCUUGAAACAGAUUGAAAAGUCCCAGAUGAACUAGGAAGUUGUUAACUUAUCAACAUAAUUUGAUGGCCAUAAGGAGAAUCUUGUAUAGUUUUUAUUUUUUAUUUUUUUAAUAAGUAUCUUGUAUAGUUUGAUGGUAUACGUAUCAGAAUGCUGGAGUUCUUCCUCAACAUGUUUAUGUUUUGUGAAACUUUCCAUUGAACUAUGAAAUUAUUACUUGUCAAUAAAAUUUGAUGGUCCAAUGGACGUAGAGCCCUCGUAUAAAAUUUAAGGAGUUCCAUGGCCAUCAUUUUACUCUUCAUGUAGAUAUUUUAAUGGAUCAAAUUUAUAGUUGAAGUUUCAAAUGAAUUCGCACUUCAUACAUUAAUUUAGAGGAAUGAGAGAGUUUUCUAUUUCUUAAAGAGCAUGAGAAUCAUAGGGUGUGUUUGGUUAAGAGAAAUAUUGAGAUGCUUGGCCAUUUUUUAGAAUGUUUUUAUCUGUAUUAGUAUUGUACCCACCAGCCCUAUAGAUAUGGCAGUUGCUCUGGAAUGCAUUGUUGGGGAGCACCACCUUUUUCUUUCCAUCAUCAUUGUUCUCUAAAGCAAUCCAUUAAUCCAACAAAACAUUGAGCACUUGAUUUUCAAGACAGAGAAAAAAAAAUGCAAUAAAAUGUCUGUGUAAUAGGUGAAAAUGCAGAGGAUGUUGGGGAAGAUCAUAGCACAUUUUUUCUUACAUUUAAUGGGGAUUUGAACUACUUCAAAAACUCUUUUAUUUCUAGCUUUGUACGUUUCUUAUAGAAUAGUCAACAUGUAUCUUUCUUUUCUUUUUCUUUUUUCAUCUUUCCCUUUUAUCCCACUUUGUCUGUGCAGGAUCUUAUCAUUUACCUCUUGGGAAUGUAAGUAAUCUGUCGUUCACAUUUGGUUGACUAAUGUCAUCAAACUUUCUGGUUCAUUGAAAAUAAAUAAAUAAACAAAGAACUGAGAAAUCUCAAUUUGAUGACUUUAUAUAUGCAGGAGUACGAAUAUAUUUAAUCAAAGAGAAUCGCUUACUUAUUCGUCUGACUCUCAGCCUCAUCAAUUUACAAUACUAGUAUGCAGUAUCCCAUUCCCAUCUGGAGGCACCUGCAGUGAAACUGUCGAGUUAUUCAAAUUAAUGUAUUUCCUUCCAUUCAUUUAUGUAGAGUUAUUUAGACUAAUGUCUUUGUGAAGUAAGAAGUCUGUUAUGUGCUCCUACCAUUGUAUUUUGGAAUUUAAUGAAAUGAGGUGCUGCUUGGAACAGUACAUCUCCUUUUUAUCA
This is a long non-coding RNA of Carya illinoinensis, 2209 nucleotides long. RefSeq lists it as uncharacterized. The record is from RefSeq and is a predicted model, not a curated record. The transcript is spliced from 2 exons. NCBI's taxonomy places the organism in Eukaryota, Viridiplantae, Streptophyta, Magnoliopsida, Fagales, Juglandaceae.